Phrynosoma platyrhinos (Desert horned lizard) is the source of this 72-nucleotide non-coding RNA. Lineage: Eukaryota; Metazoa; Chordata; Lepidosauria; Squamata; Phrynosomatidae. The record is from the annotation of a GenBank genome assembly.
GCUAGCAUGGCAUAGUGGUUUGAGUGUUGGACUAUGACUCUGGAGAUCAGGGUUUGAAUCCCUGCUCGGGUA